UACGUAGGGUGCGAGCGUUAAUCGGAAUUACUGGGCGUAAAGCGUGCGCAGGCGGCUUUGCAAGACAGAUGUGAAAUCCCCGGGCUUAACCUGGGAACUGCAUUUGUGACUGCAUGGCUGGAGUGCGGCAGAGGGGGAUGGAAUUCCGCGUGUAGCAGUGAAAUGCGUAGAUAUGCGGAGGAACACCGAUGGCGAAGGCAGCCCCCUGGGCCAACACUGACGCUCAGGCACGAAAGCGUGGGGAGCAAACAGG
RNAcentral lists this ribosomal RNA (253 nucleotides) under uncultured bacterium. Its description in RNAcentral is "partial 16S ribosomal RNA". It matches the Rfam family "Bacterial small subunit ribosomal RNA", at positions 524 to 776 of the family's 1533-position model. The record is from RNAcentral.